GAAUUUUGGACAAUGGNCGCAAGCCUGAUCCAGCAAUGCCGCGUGAGUGAAGAAGGCCUUCGGGUUGUAAAGCUCUUUUGUCAGGGAAGAAACGGUGAGGGCUAAUAUCUNUUGCUAAUGACGGUACCUGAAGAAUAAGCACCGGCUAACUACGUGCCAGCAGCCGCGGUAAUACGUAGGGUGCAAGCGUUAAUCGGAAUUACUGGGCGUAAAGCGUGCGCAGGCGGUUUUGUAAGUCUGAUGUGAAAUCCCCGGGCUCAACCUGGGAAUUGCAUUGGAGACUGCAAGGCUAGAAUCUGGCAGAGGGGGGUAGAAUUCCACGUGUAGCAGUGAAAUGCGUAGAUAUGUGGAGGAACACCGAUGGCGAAGGCAGCCCCCUGGGUCAAGAUUGACGCUCAUGCACGAAAGCGUGGGGAGCAAACAGGAUUAGAUACCCUGGUAGUCCACGCCCUAAACGAUGUCUACUAGUUGUCGGGUCUUAAUUGACUUGGUAACGCAGCUAACGCGUGAAGUAGACCGCCUGGGGAGUACGGUCGCAAGAUUAAAACUCAAAGGAAUUGACGGGGACCCGCACAACCGGNGGAUGAUGUGGGUUNAUUUCAUGCACCCGGAAAAACCUU
RNAcentral lists this ribosomal RNA (620 nucleotides) under Janthinobacterium lividum. RNAcentral describes it as "bacterial SSU rRNA". It matches the Rfam family "Bacterial small subunit ribosomal RNA", at positions 359 to 972 of the family's 1533-position model. The record is from RNAcentral. Lineage: Bacteria; Pseudomonadati; Pseudomonadota; Betaproteobacteria; Burkholderiales; Oxalobacteraceae.